This 426-nucleotide ribosomal RNA is filed under the name uncultured bacterium. RNAcentral describes it as "bacterial SSU rRNA". It matches the Rfam family "Bacterial small subunit ribosomal RNA", at positions 917 to 1344 of the family's 1533-position model. The record is from RNAcentral.
GGGCCCGCACAAGCGGUGGAGUAUGUGGUUUAAUUCGAUGCAACGCGAAGAACCUUACCAGGGUUUGACAUCCUGCGAAUCUCUUGGAAACGAGAGAGUGCCUUCGGGAGCGCAGUGACAGGUGGUGCAUGGCUGUCGUCAGCUCGUGUCGUGAGAUGUUGGGUUAAGUCCCGCAACGAGCGCAACCCACGUCUUUAGUUGCCAGCAUUUAGUUGGGCACUCUAGAGAGACCGCCGGUGAUAAACCGGAGGAAGGUGUGGAUGACGUCAAGUCAUCAUGCCCCUUACAUCCUGGGCUACACACGUACUACAAUGCUACGGACAAAGAGCAGCAAGUUCGCGAGGACAAGCAAAUCUCUUAAAGCUUGUCUCAGUUCGGAUAGGAGUCUGCAACUCGACUCCUUGAAGUUGGAGUCGCUAGUAAUCG